This 469-nucleotide ribosomal RNA is filed under the name uncultured bacterium. Its description in RNAcentral is "bacterial SSU rRNA". It matches the Rfam family "Bacterial small subunit ribosomal RNA", at positions 32 to 518 of the family's 1533-position model. The record is from RNAcentral.
AACGCUGGCGGCAUGCCUAACACAUGCAAGUCGAACGGAGUUUAGAAGCUUGCUUUAAACUUAGUGGCGGACGGGUGAGUAACGCGUGAGUAACCUGCCUCUCAGUGGGGAAUAAUGUACUGAAAAGGACACUAAUACCGCAUAAUGUAUCGAAGCCGCAUGACUUUGGUACCAAAGAUUUAUCGCUGAGAGAUGGACUCGCGUCCGAUUAGCCAGUUGGCGGGGUAACGGCCCACCAAAGCGACGAUCGGUAGCCGGACUGAGAGGUUGAACGGCCACAUUGGGACUGAGACACGGCCCAGACUCCUACGGGAGGCAGCAGUGGGGGAUAUUGCGCAAUGGGGGAAACCCUGACGCAAGCAAUGCCGCGUGGAGGAUGAAGGUCUUCGGAUUGUAAACUCCUUUUGUCAGGGACGAAAAUGACGGUACCUGACGAAUAAGCUCCGGCUAACUACGUGCCAGCAGCUGC